This 133-nucleotide ribosomal RNA is filed under the name uncultured bacterium. RNAcentral's name for it is "partial 16S ribosomal RNA". It matches the Rfam family "Bacterial small subunit ribosomal RNA", at positions 357 to 506 of the family's 1533-position model. The record is from RNAcentral.
GGGAAUCUUCGGCAAUGGGCGAAAAGCCUGACCGAGCGACGCCGCGUGAGGGAAGAAGGCCUUCGGGUUGUAAACCUCUGUCCUUGGGGAAGAAGGAGACGGUACCCAAGGAGGAAGCCCCGGCUAACUACGU